Long non-coding RNA from Cucumis sativus (cucumber), 597 nucleotides. RefSeq lists it as uncharacterized. The transcript has 4 exons. The record is from RefSeq and is a predicted model, not a curated record. NCBI's taxonomy places the organism in Eukaryota, Viridiplantae, Streptophyta, Magnoliopsida, Cucurbitales, Cucurbitaceae.
GAAGCAUUUUGGUAGCUUACAAUGUGUUUGAUGAAAUACCUCAAUGAAGCAUUUGGGUAGCUUACAAUGUGUUUGAUGAAAUGCCUCAAUGAAGCAUUUGGUUGAUUUUUGAUUGAUAUUUGUUCGUUCGAAUUAGGAAAUCAAGGCCAAGGGAGAUGUCAUGGCUAUGGGCUGAAGCUUUGAGAAAAAGAGAAUGAAAAAUGAAAUUUGCUUUGAUUGAAGGAUAGAGGGAAGUGAUUAUUGAUAAUUAUAGGGCUUGAAGAAUCCUCGAGAGAGUGACAAUGCUUGUUGAAUUUUUAUGAAAAUGCAACAUUGAAAAGGGUUGGAAGGGCUUCAAGGUACGUUUUUAACUAUUGAAUUACAAUGAAAAUUGUUUGGACUUGUUAGUUCAAAGUUUAAAUUGAGUUUAGCUUGUGAAACUCAAAGAUUUCAUUUGUAUACUGAUUAUAUAUGUUGGUGUGGAAUAGUUUAUCUUGCGUGUACCUAACAAAAUGAUUAUGUUUGCUUGAUUAUAUUUUUAUUUGUCCAUUUUCUUAAAGGUUUUGAGUGAACUCAAGUUUAUGGUAGAUUGGGGUACAUUAAAAUUUAUUGAACUUA